CCAAUUAGAUUGUCAGAAGGAGCAUUUUAUUAUUAAGGUCUGAGAAGACAUGUUUGAGGUGUUUCUUUUGUGUUUUAAAAUCGUUGUGAUUAAACUUUUUUUUUUUUUUGUAACAUUUCAUGUUAUUUCAUUUUUAGGUUGAAGUUAAAUAUGGAAAAUGAUCAACAACUAAGAUGAGUGUCAAAACCAGAAAUCAUAAUGGAAAUGGUUUUGCUACCUUUACGGAGGCAGUCUAUAAUGAUAACAUUUUAAAAAGCUAGAAUACAUAUUUCAUACACACAAAGCUGUCACUAUUUCACGAACUACAGAAGUCCUUCAUGAUGAACAUGAUGCUCUGUGUUCAAAUGUAUUUCACUGACUACUUAUGUACUGGUGACCAGCUACCAGAAAGAUGGACAGAAGAUGGGAGAUGUUUGUGGCUCAAGUAAUUACUAGUAAAUCCACCUGUAGCGAGACGUGCGCUUGUGGGAGGGAGCACGAUUUCUGCGAGGUCCUGGGGACAAAUCCCAGGCAAUGUAUCCCACUGAUGGUCCUGCUCCCCCCUCGGCGCAUGACACAGUGGCUGGACUUUGCUGCUGUGAAGUGCAGACCUGACAUCUCCUCCUACUUCUGGUGACAAGUCACUUGGGAACAUGUGGCCCUCGACACGUGUGGUGGCCAGCGUAGGACAGCCAUAUUGCGAAGGCAGGGGGCUGCCCUUUUAAGUGCACAGGCUUAUUUCUUUAGCACCUUCUGCACAUGUAAGCUUCUCUGUGGCAGCUGCCCUCUGGAGACUUGUUUCAAUUCUCUCCCACUACUCUGGUCCUUUAUGACAUCUGGGGGGGUCUCUGAAGCUAUCAACUGAUCUCUCUCUUGUUCCUGUCUGCGAUUUCCCCAAGUAUUAUCUCAGUGUCCAGAUGGAAUGGUAACCCUCCAAGUCAGGGCUCAACAAGAAACACGCGUCCCUGCACAUGCCCCAGAGAGCGACUAGAAUUACUGUCAUUGCUUUGUAAUCUUCCAGCUGUGGCAGGCUCUGCAGGUCGUUCACACAAUCGAGUAUCAACCACGCUGUUUGCUGAAGGAUGCCCGCAUCCAGGAAACUCAGGACCCACGCAGUGACUGACCCUCGCUUCCCGCUCUUGCUCAGUUACGUGAAUGUGAAUGGUGCAUGCUCCUUUCUGCCAAGCUUGGCCAACCUCAUUACCGUGGCACCCAGGGGACAAUUAAACCAGGUUCUCGGCUCCUGCUGGCCUCCACAGCAUUGCUUUGGGUCGCUCCAGAGACCACCGCAGCCUGCCCUGAGCCUCCUGAAAGCUUCUUCCCAGAUGAAAAUGUGAGAAGGAUGGUGAUAAACUUCAGCAAAGCCAGCAGAGGUUGGGACAGGUUGCCCAGAGAGGCUGCGGAUCCGCUAUCCCCGGAGGUGUUCAGCACCCAACUUGUAAAAGCCCUGAGCACCGUGAUGUGAAUUCAGUGCAACCUUGCUUUAGGCAAAAACCUGGACUAGAGAUCUCCUGUAGGCCCUCCAGCCACAGUGAGUUUGUGAUUCCUUUAUUUUGUACAAGCUAUGAUUCUGUAUGUAUCGCAAGCGCUAUCUCACUAAUGUUAAUUAGCAGAUGUGCUUUUGUAAUUGAAAUGUGCUUUGAGAAAAGAUUUGUCUCCAAUCUACAAAAGGUGCAUAGGAAUUGAUGAAUUUAAAACAACAGAAUCAAUCAGAAAUGGUGAGAGUAGAUAGCCAUGAAUAGAUGGCAUCAUUUGGAGGGG
Molecule: long non-coding RNA, 1740 nt
Organism: Aquila chrysaetos chrysaetos
Lineage: Eukaryota; Metazoa; Chordata; Aves; Accipitriformes; Accipitridae
Exons: 3
Source: RefSeq, a predicted model, not a curated record